Non-coding RNA from Pelobates cultripes (western spadefoot toad), 401 nucleotides. NCBI's taxonomy places the organism in Eukaryota, Metazoa, Chordata, Amphibia, Anura, Pelobatidae. The record is from the annotation of a GenBank genome assembly.
CGCUGGAUGCAUCCCACUGAGCCGGUCUGUUGAUGCUGGAUAGCAGGAUGCUUCAAUCAGCUUAAAAUAGAAAGCCAAUGGUGCAGGCGACUGGGCUUAAUUGCCACAAGCUUGAGGAGCACGUAAAGAAUGUGUCCAGUUGCCAUUACCGUCAGACCCUGCCCCCAAUGCAGAUUGUAUUCUAAUACUAUAUUCACACAAAUGUCUGUCUGUUUAUUGUAUUAUGAGAAAAUGCCAUGAAAGAUUUCUGGGAAAUUUCAUACUAUGAUUCAAUGUACCGUAUAUACUCGAGUAUAAGCCGACCCGAAUAUAAGCCGAGGCCCCUAAUUUUACCCCAAAAAACUGGGAAAACGUAUUGACUCGAGUAUAAGACUAGGGUGGGAAAUGCAGCAGCUACUGGU